RNAcentral lists this ribosomal RNA (404 nucleotides) under Actinomycetes bacterium. RNAcentral describes it as "Actinobacteria bacterium partial 16S ribosomal RNA". It matches the Rfam family "Bacterial small subunit ribosomal RNA", at positions 355 to 776 of the family's 1533-position model. Lineage: Bacteria; Bacillati; Actinomycetota; Actinomycetes. The record is from RNAcentral.
UGGGGAAUAUUGGACAAUGGGCGCAAGCCUGAUCCAGCCAUGCCGCGUGAGUGAUGAAGGCCCUAGGGUUGUAAAGCUCUUUCACCGGUGAAGAUAAUGACGGUAACCGGAGAAGAAGCCCCGGCUAACUUCGUGCCAGCAGCCGCGGUAAUACGAAGGGGGCUAGAGUUGUUCGGAUUUACUGGGCGUAAAGCGCACGUAGGCGGACUUUUAAGUCAGGGGUGAAAUCCCGGGGCUCAACCCCGGAACUGCCUUUGAUACUGGAAGUCUUGAGUAUGGUAGAGGUGAGUGGAAUUCCGAGUGUAGAGGUGAAAUUCGUAGAUAUUCGGAGGAACACCAGUGGCGAAGGCGGCUCACUGGACCAUUACUGACGCUGAGGUGCGAAAGCGUGGGGAGCAAACAGG